This 465-nucleotide ribosomal RNA is filed under the name uncultured Klebsiella sp. RNAcentral's name for it is "bacterial SSU rRNA". It matches the Rfam family "Bacterial small subunit ribosomal RNA", at positions 338 to 795 of the family's 1533-position model. The record is from RNAcentral. Lineage: Bacteria; Pseudomonadati; Pseudomonadota; Gammaproteobacteria; Enterobacterales; Enterobacteriaceae.
CCUACGGGUGGCAGCAGUGGGGAAUAUUGCACAAUGGGCGCAAGCCUGAUGCAGCCAUGCCGCGUGUGUGAAGAAGGCCUUCGGGUUGUAAAGCACUUUCAGCGGGGAGGAAGGCGGUGAGGUUAAUAACCUCAUCGAUUGACGUUACCCGUAGAAGAAGCACCGGCUAACUCCGUGCCAGCAGCCGCGGUAAUACGGAGGGUGCAAGCGUUAAUCGGAAUUACUGGGCGUAAAGCGCACGCAGGCGGUCUGUCAAGUCGGAUGUGAAAUCCCCGGGCUCAACCUGGGAACUGCAUUCGAAACUGGCAGGCUAGAGUCUUGUAGAGGGGGGUAGAAUUCCAGGUGUAGCGGUGAAAUGCGUAGAGAUCUGGAGGAAUACCGGUGGCGAAGGCGGCCCCCUGGACAAAGACUGACGCUCAGGUGCGAAAGCGUGGGGAGCAAACAGGAUUAGAUACCCGAGUAGUC